This 339-nucleotide long non-coding RNA is filed under the name Ananas comosus (pineapple). RNAcentral describes it as "long non-coding RNA (ACOM_LNC015908)". The record is from RNAcentral. Lineage: Eukaryota; Viridiplantae; Streptophyta; Magnoliopsida; Poales; Bromeliaceae.
UUUAAAUUUUUAAUUUUUAAAAAAUAUAUUUAAAAUGUUGACAUUAUUUUAAAAUUUUGAUGUAAAUUUUUAAUAUUUAAUUUUCAGUUGAAUUUAAACUAAUAUAUUAUAAAGAUAAAAUUGGCAUAUUAUUUUGAUUAUUUUUCUGAUAUCUAUUUGAACCAAACACCGACAAUACAAAUGGUUCAUUCCAAUUUCGAUUCAAGUGGCGAACCGAACAGAAUAAGAUAAUAAAUCAUUCCGAUUUCGUUUCCAGCUUAUUUUUAAUUUCAUUCCGAUACCGAUUCCGACUUCGAACCAAACACACCCUUAGAAUAAAAUAUUAUUUAUAUAAUAACC